This 377-nucleotide ribosomal RNA is filed under the name uncultured bacterium. RNAcentral describes it as "bacterial SSU rRNA". It matches the Rfam family "Bacterial small subunit ribosomal RNA", at positions 28 to 407 of the family's 1533-position model. The record is from RNAcentral.
GACGAACGCUGGCGGCGUGCUUAACACAUGCAAGUCGAGCGGUAAGGCCCUUUCGGGGGUACACGAGCGGCGAACGGGUGAGUAACACGUGGGUGACCUGCCCUUAGCUCUGGGAUAAGCCUGGGAAACUGGGUCUAAUACCGGAUAUGACUCCAUGACGCAUGUUGUGGGGUGGAAAGCCUUGUGCGGCUAGGGAUGGGCCCGCGGCCUAUCAGCCUGUUGGUGGGGUGAUGGCCACCAAGGCGACGACGGGUAGCCGGCCUGAGAGGGCGACCGGCCACACUGGGACUGAGACACGGCCCAGACUCCUACGGGAGGCAGCAGUGGGGAAUCUUGCGCAAUGGGCGAAAGCCUGACGCAGCGACGCCGCGUGGGGA